CUUAGCUUCACGGGAGUAAAUUUACAAGGCUGUCAGGCUUGGGAUGUAAUAGGCGCUGCAAGGGGUUCUAUGUAUCAAGCGAGGUGGUCUACCUUGUUAUAGAGACUGGCCACGGGGCAGCCUAAGAAGCUUCAGAUUGCCUCGCUUUGCCUCCCGAGCAGAGAAGAAUUUCCAGGCCAAAGAUUUCUUUCCUGCUAUGUCAGACCUGACCAUGUUAAACUACAAAAGAAAAUUUCCAAGAUUUGGGCUACAGAGUGGUAGGAAAUGAAGACUGUUGGUCAAGGCAGAAUGGAUGCCAAGGGACAUUCCAGUUCUUCUUCUGGCAUUUUCUCCUUUGAGUUUUUGUCUUCACAUUUGAAAAGCUUUCUAAAUCUAAUUUUCUUCUGAACUAUAGAAAAUGGUCAGUUAGUCUAACACAAUUGAAGGUGCCUUCGGGGUGGCCCUUCUGUCUGUCUAGGCUCUCCUGGCACACAGGGCUUCCAGUGGGUGACUAUUGGACAAGAUGGCACUUGUGCCUCUGAUAACCACAGUGUCAAAUGGCUUCCUGUGAUGGGGAGCAACAGUGUACAUGCUGACUAUAGAUCUUUUCUAGAACCUGGAGGAAUAUUCUCAAGUGGUCGUGUGUGUGUGACUCAUCCUCUCACCUAAUGGAAUUCUUACCCACAGGAAAACUCUACUAAUGUGUCGAUACACUGCUGAGAAAACACCUCGGAAUUUUC
RNAcentral lists this long non-coding RNA (719 nucleotides) under Homo sapiens (human). RNAcentral describes it as "HSALNT0120058". The record is from RNAcentral. Lineage: Eukaryota; Metazoa; Chordata; Mammalia; Primates; Hominidae.